GCAGACUGGAGCGCAGAGCCUCAGGUUCCAGUGAAGGUGCUGCAUGCUCACGGUGAUGACGUCACCACAGCCCGGUUCUGUUGCGGCGACCGCAACAUCCUGAGCUGCUCAUUGGACGGCAGCGCCAUCCUCUGGGACGCGGAGAGCGGCCGGCCUCUGAGGCUGUUUGCUGGAGUUCACAGCAGAGCCAUCACUGAGUGUGCUCUGAUC
Molecule: long non-coding RNA, 210 nt
Organism: Poeciliopsis prolifica (blackstripe livebearer)
Lineage: Eukaryota; Metazoa; Chordata; Actinopteri; Cyprinodontiformes; Poeciliidae
Exons: 3
Source: RefSeq, a predicted model, not a curated record